Long non-coding RNA from Bombus terrestris (buff-tailed bumblebee), 2374 nucleotides. RefSeq lists it as uncharacterized. NCBI's taxonomy places the organism in Eukaryota, Metazoa, Arthropoda, Insecta, Hymenoptera, Apidae. The record is from RefSeq and is a predicted model, not a curated record. The transcript has 3 exons.
CCGCGAUUUGAAAAUCGUUUAUCGAAUAUAACUUGUCCGAGAACCUGCUAUAAAUUGAAAUUUCUAUAGACAGAACUAAACAGUUACUUGUGGUCUGCCAUUGAAGAUCAGUUGGUUUCAAGCAACGUUCAACAUUUUGUCAUUGACACUUCACAGGUGCGUGAAUUUCCGGAAAGUACCAUGAAGAGUUGGCUGAUAAGUGGAACGCGCGCAAUAAGACUUCUCUGCAUCUUCCUUCUGGUGCAGUCGUUUUUGGUUACUUCGUCGAAUUCUGAACCCGAAACGAACCCUGCGAUGCCAGGGAUGGCUGUAACCCCCGCGGUGGAAUACAGAAUUUUACGUAGAUGUAACAUGGCGUUCAACCCAAAGUUUAGACCCAAAUGGUGCAGAAAAUUUUCAGUCUCUUAAAAUUUAUGAUUCACAUAUCUUUGUUCCUGUUCUUCAUUGCAUUGACGUUGCAAGAUUCAAAGGACGUUGAUUACUAAUUGGUCGAUUAUUAGCUCACUCAUUUUCUGUAUUCAGGAUACUGUUCCUUGUCAAUUGAAUUACAAAGAAUGCAAUAAACAAGAUAACGCAAACAUCGAAUUUGUUAUGAUUUAGAUAUAAACUCUACUUAGAACAUUUUUACAAGUACGAAAUUCAGUCUGCUGAUUGACUUACAGAUGAAUGUGCUUGGAGUACACAUUAUAGUAAAAGCAACGAAUAUUUUGAUACGAUUGGGCUUAGGGUCCAACUAUCUCGAAAUAUAGGACACAGAGUAUGUGGAACGAGUUACAAUUAUACUAAGCCACGCAAACGUAUCCAUGACAGAUCGAGAAGAAUUUCAAUAUUUGAGUGUGGAAUUUACUUCUUUUUACCAUUUUGCUACCAGAAAGUCUGCUUAAGAUCAUCCAACGAUUUCUGCGACUAAUCGAAAUCCGCGGAAGUUUCAUCAAUUCCCUUUGUAGGGUUGACCAAACUAUCGUCACAGUUAAUCGUCUUUUCUCGCAUCACAGGAACGUAACGCGAGUAGAUCUACGUGGAGCAGAUGCGCAAUGAAAGCGAAGAAUACAGAGCGUUCAGAAGCUUCAGCGAACGAAAUUAAAAGUAAUUUUUCAGCCAAGAAAUAUAUGAAGAUCUUCGAUUAAAUGAUCUUCCAGAAUGUGAGAUGAAUUUUCCGCAUUUGACAACGCUCACGAUGUUCGAGAAAAGCGAUGUAAACAGACUUUGCCACUUGGAGGAAACGUGACAUAUUGCGUGAAUAUACUGCGGCUCACAUUAACAUUAGGAUACUCUUUGAACGGGAACAACUUUCUCAAUAUGGGAUCAAACGACUUGAGUUUCUUCGAGAAGCUACAGUUAGUAGAUUGGAUGACGUUGAAAGAAGUUUUGAAAGAUCGCGACUGGUCCAAGCCGCGAAAAAAAUGGCGAAGGUCGCUUUUCACGUCCAUUUUAUCUGACUCUGUAAUGAAAAUUUUAACAAUACGUUCUGUGGAUUUAUGUCUGCUAUAUACAGGCUAAAAAUGUAACCGAAAUCGUUUGGUGCGGAAGUGGGCAAUCAUCGAAAGAUACAAAAAUCUUUUAGAUUUGUUAGAGGGAAAGGCGGGAAGUGGCGAGAAACUGCGAUUCGCACAAUUUUCCACCUUUUGCAGCUCGCAGCAACGUAAUCCCCAAAUUAUUUUCUAUUAAAGAGCGUUCGAAUAUUAAUAUGAGCCGCUGAUUAUCGCAAACAAACGAUCAAGGUAAUCGCGAAUUUACGACUCUUAUUCGAAUUGAAAAAUUGUUUACGAGCGAUUGUUCCGCGUAGCUCGGAUAUAUCGCGUUGGAAAACCACCUAUAAAUAGGAAUUCGCCUAGGUUCAAUCAAACAGUUGCUUGGAGCCUCAGAGAAUCCUUAACUCUCACGCAUCGCAGGUGAAUCAAGUUGCAGAAAGCGUCAUGAAGAACAAGCUGUUUAGUGCGACAUGUAUGGCCAGCAUUCUAUUUGCCAUCCUUCUCAUCCAAUUUUCGAUAACUUUAUCGAAUGCUGAACCUGUUGUGAGCGGCGUGGUGUCACAGGAGGACCGGAUGGGCAAAGGCAACAUUCCAGCUGCCAGAUCCUUUAUCAACGUGCCGAGGCCAACUACCACCACACCAAAAUGUCCACCUGACCGUCCACAAUUUCUCAGUGGACAUUGCAGGGCAGUUUUUUAACUCGCGAUUAUCCAAUUAAUAGGUUUCUACGUUUCAAGAUUCCGCGAAAUCAAUUACACUUGUCUCUAUCUCUGUUUGCCUUUCGCCGCUUCGUGAAUGAUACGCAGUGAACGUUACUCACUUGCUUAUUGAUUGUGCAUAUUUAUGUAAUAGUAUAUUUAUAUAUAUAUAUGUAGUCUGUAAUAAAGGGAGUAAAGCUUGCA